GUGGGGAAUUUUGGACAAUGGGCGCAAGCCUGAUCCAGCAAUGCCGCGUGCAGGAAGAAGGCCUUCGGGUUGUAAACUGCUUUUGUACGGAACGAAACGGUCCGGGUUAAUACCCUGGGCUAAUGACGGUACCGUAAGAAUAAGCACCGGCUAACUACGUGCCAGCAGCCGCGGUAAUACGUAGGGUGCAAGCGUUAAUCGGAAUUACUGGGCGUAAAGCGUGCGCAGGCGGUUUUGUAAGACAGGCGUGAAAUCCCCGGGCUCAACCUGGGAAUUGCGCUUGUGACUGCAAGGCUGGAGUGCGGCAGAGGGGGAUGGAAUUCCGCGUGUAGCAGUGAAAUGCGUAGAUGUGCGGAGGAACACCGAUGGCGAAGGCAAUCCCCUGGGCCUGCACUGACGCUCAUGCACGAAAGCGUGGGGAGCAAACAGGAUUAGAUACCCGUGUAGUCC
Molecule: ribosomal RNA, 450 nt
Filed under: uncultured bacterium
Lineage: Bacteria
Description: partial 16S ribosomal RNA
Rfam family: Bacterial small subunit ribosomal RNA
Source: RNAcentral